Molecule: long non-coding RNA, 888 nt
Filed under: Papio anubis (olive baboon)
Lineage: Eukaryota; Metazoa; Chordata; Mammalia; Primates; Cercopithecidae
Description: lncRNA (ENSPANG00000046358.1)
Source: RNAcentral
GGGCCUGGGUGGUGCAGCCUCUGGGCGGGGCCUGCGCAGCAGCCGGUGCGGAUUCCGCGGUGCCCAGCACAGGCGAGAACAUCCACCCGCGACGUAACUGGGAGCCUGGGGAGCUGAGCUGAGUCCGGGGUCUGCUUCUUCAGCAGGGCCCAGGGUGCUCAGCGCCCGAGGGAGGCGUUCGGGGAGUCGGCCUUUGUUCUGGCACUUUCGGGGCCUAGGAGUUAGGCAACUCUGGGGAGGUGCGAGGGGACGCCCAGUUGGGCGGGGGAGGCCUGUACAGUAGGGGCCGCGCUCUGAGCCCGAGGCACGGCUGGGGGAGCAAGUGCAGGAAGCUGGCAGCUCUUGGGGAUUUACUGAAGCAGAGUGUGGUAAAAUUCAUCAUCUGCAAAACGAGGAUUGUGAUGAAGAGUGAAGGAAAUCAUUUGCUUGAGUGUGAACAGCCUGUCUGGCACUUUAAUGUUACGAUGGUGAUGAGAAGAGGAAGGUGAGGCCGGAGAUGAUGGAUUGAGGCCCUUGGCAGUGCUGCAGGAUGAACUUAGAGAACCACUGCCUUAGGUUGGGCUAAGCAGGGAUUUUGUUUUUUCUUCUUUUUCUGAAUGGGUUAGCCUGACCUCCUUCAGCAGAGGCUGGUGGGAACUGGGGAUGCGUAAGAUGAAAAUACACCGGCCGACGGGAAUUUAUGUUCAUUUUGACCUCAAUUAACUUAUAAAACAUAUAAGAAAUUAUAUGCAAAUAAGUACCAAUUAUUUUCUGUCAGGAUCUUGUGUCAUUUUUUUUGCAGUCUUGGCAUCUACAUUAUGCCGGGUCACUUGAUCCUCAAUGUCCCACGCUGGGCCAUCACCCCCAAUUCAUUUUGUACCCACCAAUUUCCUGACAGCAUUGCCAGUU